This 1271-nucleotide long non-coding RNA is filed under the name Macaca mulatta (Rhesus monkey). Its description in RNAcentral is "lncRNA (ENSMMUG00000062518.1)". Lineage: Eukaryota; Metazoa; Chordata; Mammalia; Primates; Cercopithecidae. The record is from RNAcentral.
GGAUUUUAAAUAUUCUCACCACAAAUAAAUAAGUAUGUGAGGUGAUGGAUAUGCUAAUUAGCCUUAUUUGAUCAUUCUACAGCCUAUACAUGUAUCAAAACAUCAUGUUGUAUCCCAUAAAUAUAUACAAUUAGUAUUUGUCAAUUAAAAAUGAAAAAAGAAGACAAUGGUAAUUGUGCACAAUGGUUUCAUACUCUAGAGGGGAGAGGGAUGUAAGACGGUGUAGACACCAACAUUGUAUAAGGCAGAAUGAUUAAAAAUAAUAAAUCAUAUUGAAACCAGCUAAGACUUUUGGAGUAAAAGAUGAUGAUAGCUGUUUACAAAGACCGGAGCAGGGAGUUCCAGGUAGUUUCUGUCUAAGUAAGGUUUAACCACUUAGAAACCAGGAGUGUGAAAAGGGGUCUUUCUGCAGGCUUUUUGUUGGAUGCAUUUUAGAUCCUCGAGUUUUAAAGUCCAAGGGUUAUUUCCUGAAUUCUUGCUCUAUUCAUUUCUUAGUGUUUGAAUUGCAGCAUUCAUUUCUUAGUGUUUAUUUUACAUUCAGAUGACAGCCACAUUUGCGAGAAUUAAGACGCUUCUAUGACUUUAAUUCAAUUACAGCAUGUAGAUACAUAAUAUGUUCUUGUAUAUUGUGAAGAAACAUAUUUUUCCAUCCUUGUUCUACUUUUGUAGCCUUGCUGCUUUCUGAUUGAAAAGUCAAAUUUUAACAUGUUUAAAAUGUGUUUCUAGGAUGUGUUAGUCAUAUGAUGGCAUGGUGAUUAACUGUGAGAUGUCCAUGACAUAACAAGUUCUUCCAAUCCUCAGUUGUUAUUCUUUUAGUAAUUAAUGAGCAUACAAAGAGAGGACUUGCUAAUGUAAAGCUUGGAUCAUAAAGGUGACAUUUUGUUAAGUUUAAAGUAAAUUAUAUAAUCCUCUGAAGGAGCACUUCUGGUUUUCCCAGCUCUGGCCAGGACAGCCUAUCUGUGCAGGAAGCAUCCCUGGCACCCAGUGGGGACUGAGGACCAAGGAGGAGCUGCUACCCCAUACACGGUUUGUACUUCUGCUCUGUGAAGAGAGACAACCGUACUCUGUCACCUUCACUGAAUUACGAGUGUGGAUCAUGGGAGCUCUUUUACAGAGCAGAUAUUACUCCAGCAGCUUUACAAACGUAGUCGUCAUGUCUACACUACAAGGUGGGCAUUUGUGUCCACAUUUAUACAGAUAAGUAAAUAAGAUUAUGAAAGCUUAAAUUACUAAAAAGUGCUAGAACUGAGAUUCACACGCCUUAAAUAGCU